This 387-nucleotide unclassified non-coding RNA is filed under the name soil metagenome. RNAcentral describes it as "partial contains 5.8S ribosomal RNA, internal transcribed spacer 2, and large subunit ribosomal RNA". The stretch from base 1 to 120 matches the Rfam family "5.8S ribosomal RNA", at positions 35 to 154 of the family's 154-position model. The record is from RNAcentral.
GAUGAAGAACGCAGCGAAAUGCGAUAAGUAAUGUGAAUUGCAGAAUUCAGUGAAUCAUCGAAUCUUUGAACGCACCUUGCACCCUUUGGCAUUCCGAAGGGUAUGCUCGUUUGAGUGUCAUUGUACUCUCACACUCUCCGAUCCUAUGGAUUCGGGGAGCGGUGGACUUGGGUGUUGCUGCCUUUCCUUGUGGCUCACCUCAAAUGUGUCAGUGCACCUCUUGGUUGGACAUAGUACGGCGUGAUAAGUGUCUUCGCCGGCACCUCGCAAGAGGGUGGCCGAUCGGGGGCUCUGUGCUUUCAAACCGUCUUCGGACAAUUUCUGACAACUUGACCUCAAAUCGAGUAGGACUACCCGCUGAACUUAAGCAUAUCAAUAAGCGGAGGA